AAAUUGAAGAGUUUGAUCAUGGCUCAGAUUGAACGCUGGCGGCAGGCCUAACACAUGCAAGUCGAGCGGAAACGACAACAUUGAAUCUUCGGAGGAUUUGUUGGGCGUCGAGCGGCGGACGGGUGAGUAAUGCCUAGGAAAUUGCCUUGAUGUGGGGGAUAACCAUUGGAAACGAUGGCUAAUACCGCAUGAUGCCUAC
Molecule: ribosomal RNA, 199 nt
Filed under: Vibrio sp. OPT24
Lineage: Bacteria; Pseudomonadati; Pseudomonadota; Gammaproteobacteria; Vibrionales; Vibrionaceae
Description: partial 16S ribosomal RNA
Rfam family: Bacterial small subunit ribosomal RNA
Source: RNAcentral